CAACAUUUUUACAAGAUUCUACAACAAACAUCACUACCUAAACAUGGCUGCUUCAUCUGCACUCCGUCUUAUUUCCUCAAAGUCACAGCCUUUGAUACUGAGCUCUACAAAAUUAGCGAAUAUAAGCAAAGCAAUUCAGCUUCGCAGUAUCACAACACAAGACACAGGUGCUGUUCUUGCUAAACCGACGCAAGUUCGAUUUGGCAUAUUUAAGGUUUGCCUGACAGUUACUCCCUUUCUGUUGGGCGGUGCAACGAUCAGUCGUGAAUUCGCAGCAUGGUUGGAAGAACACGAGCUGUUUGUCCCAGACGAUGAUGAUGACUAAGCAGAGGAACUACACUUUCGAGAUCUCCCCAAAUUGUGAUAUAUCUACAAGAAGAACAGAUUGAGAGACUCAGCGGAGUUCUGCAGCAAGAUGCACUUUGAUAAUUUACAGAACAGACUGUUUUUCUUCUAUCCAUUCUCUUUCAACUUUCUCACCUCUCUUCCUAGCACUACUAACUAACACCGGUAUAUUUUAUACUUUUUCAAUGCCUUUUUUCCUUUCACUAUGUAUUUUCAUUUAUUUGUAAGUUAAGAUGUCCUUCUUGCACUUUCAUUUUCACUAGUUUCGCCAGUUGGAAGCAAUGGAAGGACGGAGCUUGACCAUUUAGUAAUUUUCAUUGUUGGUAGAUGUACGAGUAUAUUAUAGUAGGGUUUUUGUGCGUAGAUGGUGAAUUGUUUAUGUGAACUAAUUUGCAAGGGAUUGGGGUUUAGGUUAAACAUAAAACAUAAUAAUCUGUUUAUGUUGGUUGAUCAGUCCAGAUAUUAUUGUUGAGCAGCUGAUGUUAUAGUUGUGAAUUAGUCUCUUUGGAAAAUCCUUUUCUAGCUUUACAAACCUACUUGUGUGUAUACGUCAUUUGUUUAAAUUUUACUACCAUUUUUCAUUAUAAUGCCUUUAAGGAUUUUUAAAACCAGUUUUCUAAGGCAAUUCUGACUUUUUAUGUCUUUGCUGAUGUAGCACGACAUGACGUAUCAGGACUGACCAUAUGAUACUGAAAUACUGGAGUUAAUAAAUGUUUUAAUAACCCUAAA
Aplysia californica (California sea hare) is the source of this 1074-nucleotide RNA transcript. It is a transcript of the gene named essential MCU regulator, mitochondrial, with no coding region annotated. Lineage: Eukaryota; Metazoa; Mollusca; Gastropoda; Aplysiida; Aplysiidae. The transcript has 3 exons. The record is from RefSeq and is a predicted model, not a curated record.